This 293-nucleotide unclassified non-coding RNA is filed under the name Hevea brasiliensis (rubber tree). Lineage: Eukaryota; Viridiplantae; Streptophyta; Magnoliopsida; Malpighiales; Euphorbiaceae. The record is from RNAcentral.
CGGUGAGGUCCGGCCAUGGAAUCCGGCCGUGCAUGUCACCCUACGGUGAUCACCGCCAUCUCCCAAUCCUGGCGCCGCUUCCAUACCCCCAUUCUGCUCCGUCUUCCGAUAUCUGCAAAAGGAGCUCGCCGCCGGCUGCCGACUACCACUGGCCUCCCAGCAUUCCACCUCCACGACGACUGCGCCUCCAUCCACCAUGGUGUGCCUCGCCGCUACAGCAGAGGUUCACAAACUGACCACCCAACCUCCCUGCAUGUCGGGGAGGUUGGUCCUCCCACCAUCAGCACCUCGAG